GGGCUCUUUUCAGAGCACGUCUGGACCAUUUUGACUAAGAGUCUAGCCCGGCCCUGGGAGAUGCCUCAUCUGACAAACAAAUCACCAGAUACCAAGCUUUGUGAGGAGGAGAUAAGAAUGGCUUAUCUUGGGUUCCCGGGAGGCUCAGCAGGUUAAGGAUCCGACGUUGUCACUACUGGGGCUCUGGUUACAGCUGUGGCACGGGUUCAAUCCCUGGCCCCAGGAACUUCUGCAAGGUGCCACAAAGAAUAAAAAGGAAUGGAGUCCAGAAAGUCGUUGCACCAUCAUUCUGUCUUACCUAUGGUUGUCAAGGUUACCAGAUCCUCAUGUUUCCUGGUAACCAUUCCUCCCAAAAUAGCCAGCACUGGUGCCAGCCGACUGCAGCCUGCAUCUCGAUCAUCUUUUACGCUGUUUUGAGGAGAAGGCAAGGAGGCGCUUUUACAAGGAAUAAGGUUUUACAGAGCACACACAAAUAUCCCUUAUCUGAUUUUUGCCAAAGAUGGCUAAAGAAUUACAAUCCCCAAUUUUCAGGUGACCCAGCAGCCUCAGAGAGGUUAGGCGAGUGACUUGUCUGCUCUCGGGAAUUGCAAGUGAAUGGGAAAUUCAGAUUUUCUGAGGCCAUGGACGGCCCAGAUGCUGCCUCUUGCUGCUGAGGUUGCGCUGCAGAGAGGGUGUCCUGCGUCAAGGCGCCUGCGAGGGUUUCAGCCUGUGGGGCUGAGCUUCUACUUUAGUAGCUGACACUGCCCCCUUCUUCCUCGUCCACGGAACCCUGAUUUUGUUCUGGUCCGGGAGCUCUACGAUUCCCAGGGUCUCCUGGGCAGUUAAGCUUGAUGAGCUGUGGUGAUAAUGCUACCCCCCUCGCUAGUGAUUGUUUAAAUGAGGGCUGUGACCCAACCUUGGCCGGUGGAGGUAGAGAAAAAGAUCCACGUGUUGCUGAGCUCAGUUAUGAGUAAGGAGAAGAGAGCAUGAGGACAACGCAGGAGGCCGUCCGCAAACUCUCCAGCCACAGUUCGAGUUUCUACUCCGUUAAGCCCUCUGUCUAGCUGAGCGUCUACUUCUGCAUGGGGUCCAGGUGACACGCUUAUGUCCCCUCUUCAUGCCUCUGCCACCUCUGAGGGAUGUUUACACCCCAUCGGGCUGCUCACACCACCUUCCCCGUCCCAUGCAUGGUGCAGACUAUGAACCCCUCAACACGCUCAAGAGGGCAAAAACUGGUAAUCGCUGUGUAGACGGCGCAUGCCGAGGCUCUCCCGGGAACAGGCUGUGGCAGCUGGAAAGCCCUCCCACCGUGAGCAGGACGGGGGUUAAGGCGUGGCCCUGUGACUCACAGAGACGCCGAGUGGCUGCCCAGAGGACACCAAAACAGGAGAUGUGGAGAGCCAGUGCAGAGCCGCAAGCUGAGCUGGCCUGUGAUGCAGGCGCCAGGGAGCCGGGCCCAAAUUCCCACACGCUCCCACCCGGGGCAUCCUUCCCAGAGGGAUGAGCCCGAGGAUGACCCCACUGGCAGACACAGCAGGGGUGACACAGCAGGGGUGACACAGCAGGGGUGGCGGAGGCCCCAGCCAGGUGGACCUGGACCCAAGACCAUAGACACAAGCCUUCAUGAUCACGUGGUUCACGUCUCCCUUCUCCCCAAAGACCCUAAGUCCUCAAAGAGCAGGGGUGGCGCCUGUCCUUCGCACUGCCACACCCCUCGUGCCUGGCACAGAGUAGGUCCCACUACAUUUGCUGUCUGAUAGCCUCCCAACUCAGGCCUCACCUGGAGCCACAGUGCAGGAACAUUUACUGGGUAUCAGCCACCUGCUUAGAACCGAAUGAGCUAUUUCCCCACGUGGUGUCUCAGGUCAUCGUAACAACCUCGGCAGUUAGGUAUUACUAUUUUUCCUUUUUUGGGGCCGCACCCAUGGCUUAUGGCAGUUCCCAGGCUAGGGAUCGAAUCUGAGCUGCAGCUGAAAUUCUACACCACAGCCACAGCAACUCCAGAUCCCAGCCACGUCGGCGACUUAUGCUACGAGGCCAGAUCCUGAACCCACUACUGAGCAAGGCCAGGGAUCAAACCCAUAUCCUCAUGGAUACUAGUCAGGUUCUUAACCACUGGGCCACAAGGAGAACUUUGACAGUUAGGUAUUAUUAUCCUCACUGGGACAGAACAGAGCCCAGCGUCCCUCCCAGACACUGUGUUCCAGUCUCCGGAAUGCAGGAGCAGAGGCAGACCCUAGAGAGAGUCCCACCUCCUCCGUGUGCAAAGUCAGCCCCUUGCCUGAUCCUUACACAAGCCCUGGGAGCUAUCAUCCCAUCAGUCCGCCCAUUGUACAGAACAGGAAACAGCGGCUUGGAGGGGUUAACACCUCGCUUCAGCCCCUCAGCUACAGGCAGCGGAGCAGGGCUUGAACCCAGAUCAUUCGGACUCCUAAGCCCCAGCUCCUUCCACUAACAUGGACUCAACACUGGACUUUUGUUGUGGACUAAACUGUAUUUCCCAGGAGUUCCCGUCGUGGCUCAGUGGUUAAUGAAUCCGACUAGGAACCAUGAAGUUGUGGGUUCGAUCCCUGGUCUCGCUCAGUGGGCUAAGGAUCUGGCAUUGCCGUGAACUGUGGUGUAGGCUGCAGACACAGCUCAGAUCCCGUGUUGCUGUGGCUCUGGCUGCAGGCUGGCGUCUACGGCUCCGAUUGGACCCCUAGCCUGGGAACCUCCAUAUGCUACGGGAGUGGCCCAAAAAAUAGCAAAAAGACAAAAAAAAAAAAAAAAAAAAAAAG
RNAcentral lists this long non-coding RNA (2756 nucleotides) under Sus scrofa (pig). RNAcentral describes it as "lncRNA (ENSSSCG00060057606.1)". Lineage: Eukaryota; Metazoa; Chordata; Mammalia; Artiodactyla; Suidae. The record is from RNAcentral.